CGGAGGAGGCCGGAUCCUGGGCUGUGUCCCGGCGCCCUGUGCUCCGGAGCCUGCGCUGUUGGAUUCGCGCUCCCGGGCCGCGCAGCCCCCU
This is a non-coding RNA of Canis lupus familiaris (dog), 91 nucleotides long. NCBI's taxonomy places the organism in Eukaryota, Metazoa, Chordata, Mammalia, Carnivora, Canidae. The record is from Rfam.